Molecule: non-coding RNA, 753 nt
Filed under: Hebardina concinna
Lineage: Eukaryota; Metazoa; Arthropoda; Insecta; Blattodea; Blattidae
Description: 12S ribosomal RNA
Rfam family: Microsporidia small subunit ribosomal RNA (bases 328-742)
Source: RNAcentral
AAGUUUUUACGUGUUUUGAAUUGAUUUCUUGAUGAUUUUAUUUAUAUGGUUUUUCGCAGUAAAGGAUUUUAUUAAUUAAUUGUAGUUAGAUUUGGUAAUUUUGUUUAAUUAUUGGUAAAAUUUGUGCCAGCAUCCGCGGUUAUACAAUAAAUGGUAGUAAAUAUUUUUGGUUUUAAUGAUAGUUAAAUAUAUAUAUUUGGAAUUAUUAUUUUAUUUUUAGGUGAAAUUUUAAUUUUUAUUAUAAUUCUUUUUAUUUGAAGCUAUUAAAUUUUUAAUUUAAACUAGGAUUAGAUACCCUAUUAUUUUUGAUGUAAAUUUUAUUAACCUGAGUAGUAUUAGUUAUGACCUUGAAACUUAAAGAAUUUGGCGGUAUUUUAUUCUAUUUAGAGGAAUCUGUCCCUUAAUCGAUAAUCCGCGUUGGACCUUACUAAAUUUUAAUAGUAUGUAUACCGCCGUUUAUUUGAGAAUCUUUAUAGAGUUAAUAUUGAAUUUUCGAUAUUUGUUUAUAAAGUUUAUUUCAGGUCAAGGUGCAGCUUAAUAAUUUAGUGGAGAUGGAUUACAUUUAUAUUUAUUAUUGGAUUAAAUUUUGUAAUAAGUUUAUUAAAUUGGAUUUAAUUGUAAUUUUUUGUAGAUUGUAAAAAUGAUAAAAGCUCUAUAAUAUGUACACAUCGCCCGUCACUCUCAUUAAAUUUAUUAGGUGAGAUAAGUCGUAACAUAGUGGUUGUACCGGAAGGUGUAGCUGGAAUGAAAUAU